Pelobates cultripes (western spadefoot toad) is the source of this 404-nucleotide non-coding RNA. The record is from the annotation of a GenBank genome assembly. NCBI's taxonomy places the organism in Eukaryota, Metazoa, Chordata, Amphibia, Anura, Pelobatidae.
AUCAGAGUCAAUAUUUUCUAAUAUUGACCUGACCAGACAAACUGUAGGGGCAUGAUCUCUACACCAAAACAACUGAAUUAAGCUAAAGUUGUUUUGGUGCUUAGAGUACCUAUUUAACUUUUUUGUGAGAGAUCCAAAUUAGGUUUAUUAAAUAAGCUUGAUGACCAAUUUUCAGUUGCAUAAAAAGCCCAGUGAUGGGUUUUUCAUAUGUAUUCUAAUUUAUACUAAAGUUCUGCAAAACACCUUCAUUAGCCUUUUCUAUCUAUUUUAAAUUGGUCCCCGCUUUCCAACACAUUGGGGAAACAAUGCGGUUACGAAGAGAGAAGAAGAAAAAAUAAAAAUAAACUUUAAUGUGAGAAGUUGACCUCAUGAUCACAGCUUCCUUCUUGCAAAUAUUUGCGAAC